Molecule: ribosomal RNA, 292 nt
Filed under: uncultured bacterium
Lineage: Bacteria
Also listed under: 1 other name
Description: partial 16S ribosomal RNA
Source: RNAcentral
GGACUACCAGGGUAUCUAAUCCCGUUUGCUCCCCUGGCUUUCGCGCCUCAGCGUCAGAAAAGAUCCAGUGCGCCGCUUUCGCCGCCGGCGUUCCUUCUGAUAUCAACGCAUUUCACCGCUCCACCAGAAGUUCCGCGCACCCCUACCUUCCUCGAGCCCGCCGGUAUCGAAGGCCCUUCCACGGUUAAGCCGUGGGAUUUCACCCCCGACCUCGCGAGCCGCCUACGCGCCCUUUAAGCCCAGUGAUUCCGAACAACGUUCGCACGGUUCGUCUUACCGCGGCGGCUGGCAC